Siniperca chuatsi (mandarin fish) is the source of this 596-nucleotide long non-coding RNA. RefSeq lists it as uncharacterized. Lineage: Eukaryota; Metazoa; Chordata; Actinopteri; Centrarchiformes; Sinipercidae. The record is from RefSeq and is a predicted model, not a curated record. The transcript has 3 exons.
GUCCGUGACUCCUUUCGUUAGCCGUUAGUUAGCUACACCAACUGCCACAAACGUUUAACGUUACUCCAAUUUUCUAAGUCAGUUUCCAGUCCAGUUGUGGACAGCCUGUGACCGCGACUCUCGCUUUACUUCAGCAAAGAUUCUCCGCAUCCUCUGCAGUCUCUGGCAGGGCGACUCCGUUCAUCUCAGCCAACUUUGUCACCAAUCCACUGUACAGCACCGACAUCACACCUGAAACAAAUGUAAAGUACUUUUUACAAUGAGACGGAAAAAUUGGGGAUCAGCUGCCAUGUGCGAGUCCCAGGCUGGGGAUAGCCUGCUGAAGGGGGGAAAUGCACGGACGUGAGAAGAACCCCCUGCAAACCCCCUAUCUGCACGUCAUGGAACAUUUGCAGAACAGGGACCUCCCACCUUAAAGGCGUGCAACAGAGAGCAGACACAACAGAGAGAUCUGCUCUGCACCGGACUCACCAUCUUAGGUGACAAAUAGACCCUUGGCUAUUGUGGCUCGGCGGAGGAAGGAGCACAGAAUUACGGCUUUAAAACACAAAAUGAGCGCGGUGUGAAGCAGCGGGGAACAGAGGCUUACCAGUCAC